RNAcentral lists this ribosomal RNA (490 nucleotides) under uncultured bacterium. RNAcentral's name for it is "partial 16S ribosomal RNA". It matches the Rfam family "Bacterial small subunit ribosomal RNA", at positions 30 to 507 of the family's 1533-position model. The record is from RNAcentral.
AUUGAACGCUGGCGGCAGGCCUAACACAUGCAAGUCGAACGGUAACAGGAAACAGCUUGCUGUUUCGCUGACGAGUGGCGGACGGGUGAGUAAUGUCUGGGAAACUGCCUGAUGGAGGGGGAUAACUACUGGAAACGGUAGCUAAUACCGCAUAACGUCGCAAGACCAAAGAGGGGGACCCUCGGGCCUCUUGCCAUCGGAUGUGCCCAGAUGGGAUGAGCUUGUUGGUGGGGUAACGGCUCACCAAGGCGACGAUCCCUAGCUGGUCUGAGAGGAUGACCAGCCACACUGGAACUGGGACACGGACCAGACUCCUACGGGAGGCAGCAGUGGGGAAUAUUGCACAAUGGGCGCAAGCCUGAUGCAGCCAGGCCGCGUGUAUGAAGAAGGCCUUCGGGUUGUAAAGUACUUUCAGCGGGGAGGAAGGGAGUAAAGUUAAUACCUUGGCUCAUUGACGUUACCCGCAGAAGAAGCACCGGCUAACUCCGUG